CGCGGACAGAGAGAAAUGCCGAGGAAUAGGGGCGCGGCCGCCCGGUUUCGGCGAUGGGUUAUAGGGUCCGCGUCAGCCCCGCGCCCGCACAGCCAACGUCACGCCGCAUUCUUAUUUCCAAAGACCCCUGGAGCUUGGGGUCCCACCCCAGCGGUCUUUCGGGGCGUCCCCUGCCCUUCACGCGCCGCGCCGGCUCGGCCCGAAGCGCCCUGCGGACCCGCAGCCUGGGCCGCCCCGAACCUGACGGCCCCGCGGGGGUCGGACGCGGGAGGAACGGCCUCGCUUUCAGAGACGCAGCGGGAGGGCGGUCCCCGCUGUCCCUCUGGCCGGGUCCUCAGCACGCGUUCUCCUCACUCCCAGGACUAGCCGAGCGGCGGGCGCGGACCGGGGCCUGGGGUCGGAGGCGGCGCAGCCAGAAAGGCCCCAGCGGCGCUGAGACGUUUGGGGGAAGGCGGGGGCUUCGCGUUUCGAUGGCGGGAAGCGGAAUGAGGUUGGACCGGCCGGGCCGGCGUUCAGGGACCCGGCGGGAGGAGGAGGGCUGGCGUCCUCGCGGUCAUCCAUCUGCAGCGAACCAGGCAGAGGCUUUGGGAUUAGAUCCUUGACUCCUUGCGUCAGUAGUUAAGCUUUGUGAUGGUCUGAGGUCCAUGAAGGGAUUAAAACCAGGAACUGGCUCCUUCUCCAACCACUAAAGCCUCAUCUGGGCCCCCAAGCCCUGGCUGUUCCCUGGAGCGUGACUGGAAGAUGUGAGCAGCUUUGUGCUGGAGCCCUAUUUCCAUGGUGCAUGCUGCUGCCAAACCAGAGAUCACUUGUAGACUUGAAAGGGAACAUGAGCUUUGGGUGAAGGAUUCCCAGCCCCCAACAGAGGCCAAAAAGCUACCACCCAGCCAGGCAGAAGGAAAAUAAAGUAUGCAUUUUAUGAUACGACUCAGCUUGGAGGGAUGAAGUAGAAGGUCCUCUCUGCACCUCAUGGCAGGCUGCUGACGGCAGAUAUUUAACCGGGCUCACUGAACUGGGCAGUCAGGGAAGGGUCGGCUCCUGCUCUGUCCAGCUGUCUUCAUAAGGGACUCUGUGACACUUUUUAUAAAGAUGACUUUGAUUUCUGCAUAAGAAGGCUUCCCAAGCUUGCUGUCUAGCAGUGGCUGCUACAGGGAAUUAUUCACAUGGCAGCAAGAGAGCCCUGGCUCCCUGGACCAGGACAUUCCCUUUGUGUGUGUUGGAAUGAGAGCAGGAGGAGUGCUGGUCAGAAGCCCCUCCCCAGGGCUCUGUGACUUCAGUGUUCUCAGACGAACUGGGCCGCUCCUCUGAGCUGGGAUGCUGACCCACACUUGUCCCCGGCUCUGGCAUCCACAGGACACUG
This 1357-nucleotide non-coding RNA is filed under the name Pan troglodytes (chimpanzee). Lineage: Eukaryota; Metazoa; Chordata; Mammalia; Primates; Hominidae. The record is from RNAcentral.